Hysterangium stoloniferum is the source of this 94-nucleotide non-coding RNA. NCBI's taxonomy places the organism in Eukaryota, Fungi, Basidiomycota, Agaricomycetes, Hysterangiales, Hysterangiaceae. The record is from the annotation of a GenBank genome assembly.
GCCCUGUUAGCUCAGUGGUAGAGCGUCAGAUUCUUACAGUCCCGCUGACCGGGUAGGAGUCUGGAGGUUGCAGGUUCGACUCCUGUGCGGGGCA